This 1233-nucleotide ribosomal RNA is filed under the name metagenome. RNAcentral's name for it is "bacterial LSU rRNA". It matches the Rfam family "Bacterial large subunit ribosomal RNA", at positions 1564 to 2808 of the family's 2925-position model. The record is from RNAcentral.
UGAAUACGAGAUGCUAAGGCGUCGAAGUAGUGUAUGUCAUACUUCCAAGAAAAGCUUGCACUGUCAUAAUAAAAAAUGCCUGUACCAUAACCGACACAGGUGGGUAAGUAGAGUAUACUAAGGGGCGCGAGAUAACUCUCUCUAAGGAACUCGGCAAAAUAACUCCGUAACUUCGGGAGAAGGAGUGCCUUAUUCUUAAGGUUGCAAUAACAAGAUCCAAGCAACUGUUUAUCAAAAACACAGGUCUCCGCUAAGUCGUAAGACGAUGUAUGGGGGCUGACGCCUGCCCAGUGCCAGAAGGUUAAAGAAGUUGGUUAGCAAUUGCGAAGCUGGUAACUGAAGCCCUGGUGAACGGCGGCCGUAACUAUAACGGUCCUAAGGUAGCGAAAUUCCUUGUCGGGUAAGUUCCGACCCGCACGAAAGGCGUAAUGAUUUGGAUGCUGUCUCGGAGAGGGGCUCGGUGAAAUAGACUUGUCUGUGAAGAUGCGGACUACCUGCACCAGGACAGAAAGACCCUAUGAAGCUUUACUGUAACUUGAAAUUGAAAUUGGACUUUAUUUGCGCAGUAUAGGUGGGAGGCGUUGAUUAUAAUCUUGCGGGAUUAUUGGAGCCAUCAGUGAGAUACCACUCUUGUAAUGUUAGAUUUCUAACUUUGAAUCAUUAUCUGGUCAAAGGACAAUUUCAGGCGGGCAGUUUGACUGGGGCGGUCGCCUCCUAAAUGGUAACGGAGGCGUACAAAGGUUUCCUCUGAACGGUUAGAAAUCGUAUCUAGAGUGUAAAGGCAUAAGGAAGCUUGACUGUGAGACCUACAAGUCGAGCAGGGACGAAAGUCGGUCUUAGUGAUCUGACGGUACUGAGUGGAAAGGCCGUCACUCAACGGAUAAAAGUUACUCUAGGAUAACAGGCUGAUCUCCCCCAAGAGUUCACAUCGACGGGGAGGUUUGGCACCUCGAUGUCGGCUCAUCGCAUCCUGGGGCGGUAGUACGUCCCAAGGGUUGGGCUGUUCGCCCAUGAAAGCGGUACGCGAGCUGGGUUCAGAACGUCGUGAGACAGUUCGGUCCAUAUCCGGUGUAGGCGUUAGAAUAUUGAGAGGAGCCUUCUUUAGUACGAGAGGACCGAGAAGGACAUACCUCUGGUGUACCAGUUAUCGUGCCAACGGUAAACGCUGGGUAGCUAUGUAUGGAGUGGAUAACCGCUGAAAGCAUCUAAGUGGGAAGCCCACCUCAAGAUAAG